Molecule: long non-coding RNA, 8034 nt
Filed under: Coffea arabica (coffee)
Lineage: Eukaryota; Viridiplantae; Streptophyta; Magnoliopsida; Gentianales; Rubiaceae
Description: long non-coding RNA (CARA_LNC005298)
Source: RNAcentral
UUAAUCCAGAUUGAGAUUCCUGAUGAUGAGAGAAAGAAGCAAUCCCAGAACUCUGAUGAAACAUAACACCAAGAGAACCCAAUUUUGGUUUGAGAUUAUGCAUUACAGUUCUUGAUUUGGACAAGUAAAAGCCCAUAAUUGGAAGUCAAGAAAGAAUCAAGGUAGAUAGUAUUGCCUUAGCAGAAAAUAUGAUAAGAUUGUUAUGGACUGACAAAAAUGUCGUAGCCUUUUUGGCACCGAAUAUAUAAUAGUACUAGAUUACGAAAGAUAGCAGUACUUUCUUUUAAGGGAUAAUUGCAGAAACCUCCCCUGAGGUUUCUGACAUUUUCACUAACCUCCCCUGUGAUUUAAAAAAUUACACUAACCUCCCCUGAGGUUACUAAUCCUUUGCAAAUUUAGUCCAAACGAUUAAAAUAUUAUUUUAGGGAGUGAAAUUAGAAUUUUGUACCAGAUUUGCCCUUUGUGCUACAUAUCCAAUGAAUGACAAAGUACUAUAAAUCAAUUAACAAUUAAUAAAUUUUAAGGAGUAUAAUUUAUGGGCAAACACGCAUUAUUCAUUUAAAGUACCAGCUCUUUACGAGUAUUUUACUUUCAAAUAUUUAAUUUAUGAUAAAUAUAUCAAUAUUUGUAAGUAAAAUUCAAAAAUUGUUAUAGUAAUAUUCUUGCAAAAUGGAAAUCGAUAGGUUAUUUAUUUAAUAUAAAUUAAAUAUUUUUUAAAAAAAAUAAAUGGCCCAUAAAAUAUUAAUUUUUUAUGACUUUCAUCCAUUACACGAGUAAAGUAUUCGCUCUUUAUGUGCAUUUUAUUUUGAAUCAUUUAAUUUAUGUUAAAUACAUAAAUGUUUGUAACUAAAAUUGAAAAAGUGUUAUAUUAAUAUUUUUACGGAAGAGAGAUUGGUAGGUUUUGUAUUUAACAAAAAUUAAAUAUUUGAAAGUAAAUACAAAUCUGUAUUUGAGCGUAAAUAUUUGUAUUAAAUUAAAUGUUUGAAAGUAAAAUACCCUUAAAAAACCGGUACUUUGAAUAGUUACCGGCUCUUUAUAGGCAAACACGCAUUACUCAUUUAAAGUACCGACUUUUUACGGAUAUUUUACUUUCAAACAUUUAACUUAUGAUAAAUAUAUCAAUGUUUGUUAGUAAAAUUCAAAGAGUGUUACAGUAAUAUUCUUGUAAAAAGGAAAUCGGUAGGUUAUUUAUUUAAUAUAAAUUAAAUAUUUUUUUUUAAAAAAAUGAUCCAUAAAGUAUUAAUUCUUUAUGACUUUCAUCCAUUACAUGAGUAAAGUAUUGGCUCUUUAUGGGUAUUUUAUUUUGAAUCAUUUAAUUUAUGUUAAAUACAUAAAUGUUUGUAACUAAAAUUGAAAAAGUGUUAUAUUAAUAUUUUUACGAAAGAGAGAUUGGUAGUUUUGUAUUUAACAAAAAUUAAAUAUUUGAAAGUAAAUACAAAUAUGUAUUUGAGCUUAAAUAUUUGUAUUAAAUUAAAUGUUUGAAAGUAAAAUACCCAUAAAGAGCCAGUACUUUAAAUAGGUGAUGCAUAUUUGCCUAUAAACUAUACUCCUUAAAGUUUAUUAAUUGUUAAUUGAUUUGUAAUAUUUUGUCAUUCAUUGAACAUAUAGUACAAAGGACAAAUUUGGUAAAAAAUUCUAAUUUCACUCCUUAAAAUAAUAUUUUAAUCGUUUGGACUGAAUUUGCAAAGGAUUAGUAACCUCAGGGGAGGUCAGUGUAAUUUUUCAAACCACAGGGGAGGUCAGUGCAAAUAUCAGAAACCUCAGGGAAGGUUUUUGCAAUUAUCCCUUCUUUUAAAGGUCGAAGAGACGAGGAAAACACUAAUGAGUCAACACAAGGUGACCAUGACUUGAUUCAGGGUUCAUUUGUGUGUUGGAAAGGUACAUGCCACGUUAUUUCAAACCGUUUCGGGUUUUGGAUACAUGUCAUGUAAUGUAUUUUUAAAUUUUUAAAUUUUUUUUAAAUAUAAGUUAUAUAAUACUAUCUACAUUUGUUAGCAAAAAAAAAAUUAUAGUGAUAGUGCAUAAAAACUUCAUUCAUUUAAUUAAGAGUGAUUCAUUAAAGGGCAAAAGAACUUUUCUGUUUGUACAAUUUUAGCCCUCUAACCAUUUGGUAUAUGUGUUUUGUCAUGUGAUGUGAUUUUAAAAUUAUACAAGCAAAUGCCUACAAUCCUAUCAUUUAUAUAUAUAUAUAUAUAAGUUUUGUAGGAAUAAAAGAAAAGGAAAUAGUGGCUGAUUACGCAUUUUCUCUUCGGUGAUGAGUGCUAAGAUUUUGUAACUUUAAGUAGUGCAAAAUCUAAGUAAUCAAGGUUACUGUGUUGACACUCAACACACAUUGGUGCAGAAUUUAAGUAAUCAAGGUUAACUAGAGUGAGUGUGAUAAAUCUGAAAUCUGAAAUUUGAAAUUUGUAUUCAUUAAGUCGUUGACUUGUAAAUAUUGAAAAUACUAACAUUUGAACACAUUCUACAUUAAAUGACAAGUAAAUAACUUAUCACGGUGCUUGUUUCAUGCUCUGGAAUUGGAAUUGGAGAUGGAAUAAUAUACAAAAAAUCAGUAUGGGUUUUGAACCCUGGUAUCAUUCCACAGACCGAUGCUUGGUACAAGCAUAGUUGGAAUGACAUCAAAAUUAAUUUUUCUUUUUUUUUUUAAUUAUUGUUCUCAUCUCUCACAGCUUUAUACGAAACCUGCUUAGAUUCCUCAUCCAUCUCAGACAUCUUCCUCCCAACAAACCUCUUCACAGAGAAAAACUUGUUUUCAAGAUUCACCACAGCCUGUCUUUUUGCAAUCUGCCCAACCAAUCUAUCCUUGUUUUUGGUAUAGGCCACCACAGAAGGCAUCGUUCUUUGCCCUUCAGCAUUAGUAACUAUAGUAGGCUUCCCUGCUUCCAUGGCAGCCACUACUGAAUUCGUUGUCCCCAAAUCAAUCCCAACAACCUUUUCAUUCACUACACUCAAAGAUCUGUAGAAUUGAGGUUUAUAAAAAUGGAGUUUUAUAAUGCAAAAAUGGGUUCUGAAAUUGGGUUGCUGCUGCUGCUGAUGAAGACACCAUUUUUAUCAACUUUCAGGCUGAUUUUUGGGCCAAAAGAUAAACUUUAUUGGUGAAUAAUUUGAGCAAAAUCGAGGGAACAGAUUGGUUCUUAAUUUUUUUAAUUUUUCUCUUCACAAAGAGAAGAGAACAUAAGAGAUCGAUUGUGAUAGGGAGGACGAUUUGAUGGCGAGAGAGGAGAGGAAAGGGUCUACUGGAGAAGAGAGGAAAUGUUUUAUCUUUUAUUUAUACUGUUGGAAAUGAAACGGAGGAUUUGAGUGAUUCCUCCCAAUUUACUCAGGAAUCAUGAAUCCCCAAAAUUUUAGGUAUGAUUCCAAUAUUUUAAUUCCCAUUACAGUACACCAGGCACCAAGUAUUGGAAUCAUCGUCAUUCCCCAUACCAAAAUCCUCUAACCAAGCAGCCCCUUUUUUUGAAGUAGGUUUUGCUUACACAAUUCAAUUCAGACUCACUUAAUUAAUUAAUAUGUUCUAUUUUUUGUUAUCAAACAUGUCUGAAUAUAUUAAAAUCUAGAUCUAUUAAAUUUAAAUAUUAAAUUGGGUUAUCAAAUGGGGUCUUAGCUUUAUUUAACUAAGGUAUCUUAUCAUUUGACUUAAUUAAUCUAUUCUUCUUGAAUGUUUUGGUUGCAUCAAUGCAUGUUUUUCUGGCUGCCUAAUCUAUGUUUUAUCAUGUGCUAUUAAUUUUAUUUUAUUUCUCAUAAAUAAAAAAGCUUGUAAAGGCCAAGUGAAUUUCAUGUUUGGUCAAUUAACACGUUUAUUUCUACUAUUUUUAAUGGGUGAUUUGUUUCUUAGGGUUUGUUUGAUAACAUAAAAAAGUAGGGGUGAGCAUCGAAUUCGAAAUCGGUAAUUUGGUAGCUUAAAAUCGGUAAUUUUCGAUAAAUGGUUCUAGGAAAAUUCGACCUAAUUCGCAUUCGAAAUAGAAAUUACCGAAUUCGAAUUCAAUCCGAUUUCAAUUCGGAAAACGGACAUUUACCGAUUUAACCGAAUUUCAGAAAACAAAUUCUUUGGACCAUUUUUUAUCAGCAAAUAGCAAUACUAUUACACUAACUGAGCCACAAACAAUGAAACAAACUGUAGACACCAAAUUUUUAAAUAAUUGUUAUCCUAAUUUUUUAUUUUUAGUUUUAGUAAUAAUUCUUAUCUAUUUUUAUUUUUCUUUAAUUUCAUGAUUUUUAGUUUUGGACUUUUAGUAUUUCUAGAUUAUUAUUGUCCUUUAUUUUAUUUUAGUUUUAUUUUUGUAUUCGUUUUCACCCUUUAGCUAUUUAUUUUUUAUUAUAGGACUUUUUUAGCAUAAAAUUUGUCAAAAAGAGAAAAUUUUUUAUAAAAAUAUGUUUUAUUUCCUUUUACUGUUUAUUAAUCGAAAAAAAAAAGAGGAAAAGAGAGGAAAAAUCUUAGCUUUUCGUUUUAUCUUUUGUUAAUUAGUUUUGUACAUUUAUUUAAGAUUUUGUUUAAACUAUUUUUGUAUUAUUGUUAUUUAAUUAAGUGAUUAAAAAAAAAAAAAAGCCACGCGCGCUGCAUUCCGUUCCAGUUUCGUACGAGGCAGCAAAAAUAGCGCAGCCCUGUUUUGUUUUUCUUCCAGUUUUCUUCCAUUUUUUCUCAAUUUUUUGGGCUCUGUUAGAUCAUCACAGUACUGUUACACUUGGCUUUCAUCUACAAGCCCAGAGCAAUCUAGAAAUGGAAGCUAAUCCGAUGGCUGAGAGGGGAACGGAGACUUGAAGCUGCUUCUGAACCAUUGAGAUGAGGUUUAAGGGGUUUGGAUGGGAUAUAAAAGCAAAGCUAAGGGUUUAGAAAUAGAGGCGUUUUUGGAUGACGGCUGAAUGAGAGUAAGGGAGAAUGAAAAUGACGGCUGAAAAAUCUGAGGGAAUGUAGAGGAGCGUAGAAAAGGAGAAGCUUUCGACCAGGAGAUAAAAAACAGAGAGAGAGAGGGCAGCGGGGAGAGUGAAAGGAGGGAAAAAGAAUUGGCGGCUGCAAAGGAAAACAGAGGGGAAGCUUCGUGGAGGUCUGAAAAGAAAAAAGAAGAAAAAAUAGAGGAAAAGAAAAGAGCAAGGGGAGGAUUCCAGUGGCGGCAGAGGGAGGAAGAAAGGAGCUUUGGGGUUGCAAGGACGGUGCUGCGUUAUCAUCACUGUUCUCCUAUUGACAUCCUUUGAAGGCCUGGCAGAAUCAUCCGAAUCCUUUCUUGGUCAUUCCCCGACUCAUUCUGUGAUUAAGGUAAUAUCCUUGAUCUCUUAGAAUUAGAGACUGUUUUCUUUAAUUGCUGGUUUGCACCCUUUCGCUAUCUGCUGGUUCGGUUGUCCCUUGUUGUCUCUCAUUUUCAUUUCCGUAGUUCUGGCUUAAGUUUGGAUUUGGGUUUAUGAUUCACAGUGGGACUGUUAUGCUUGCUUGACUUGAGUGAUGUUUGCCGAGGUUGAAAACAUAGCAAAGCUUCGCAGUUUUGCCUCUUGUUGCUGCUUACUGGUUUUGUUUAGCGUUGGUUUGUAUGAUUGCACGACUUUGUUAGACUGGAGAUGGGUUUGUGCGGUUUGUGAAUCUAAUAGAGUAGACAUAGAAGAGUUGCAAAAUUUUACAGACUUCGCAUGACCUCUUAGUCUGUCUUUUUGUUUCUUUACUUGAACUCUCGGUUUGAUGGCCAUUAGAAUGUUUGGUAAUCCUUCUUGCUGGGGUUUAGAUUUUCUUGGGCAGAGCUUUGUAUAUAAUGUUUGCUGCAGUAAGCUUGAAGUUGUCGGUUUUGUUGCCGCAAUUUUUCUUUUCAUUUUUGGGUCCAAUGUGUGAUAAUGAGUAAGUUUGCAGUGUUUGGAGGGUGAUUUUUCUUUGCAAAAGGUUUCGGUCAACCAGAAGCUAGGAAAGAACUUAUAGCUUUGGCGCUCCCUGUUUUAUUCCUCCUGCAUUUUUGCUGUGCUUGAACCAAACUGAAGAUGCAUGCCUUUGGUUUGUGUUUAGAUUCAGUCUUCAACCUCAUUAGAAUGAUUGGAUUAGGCGCUUAAAUUACUUGGCUUCCAACAAAAUGGAUAACGCUGAUUUUUCUGUGUUUGAUCAAGAAACCGAGAAUUGCAUAAAUCUCAUUUUCAGUUUUGCACGCUUUCUCUUCCUGAAUUCUGUGUUUCAAAUCCAAAAGUUUUAUGUCGAAAAAUAGGAGCAAUGUUUGAUAAUCCUGUUGCCUGGAUUCAGUUUGCAUUGCGCUUAAAUUUGCGCAUACAAACCUGCUGGAAUAAGCCACGCUUGAAGCUCUUGGUCUUGUUGUAGCAGCGUGCGCAACCCCUUUUUCUUUUCCUUAGAGUGCCGCAAGUUUCACCUUCUCUUUCGCUGCAUUUCAUGCCCUCCUGUUUCAAUCAGCUUAUGGGGGUUAGAUGAUUAUGCUUGCAGAUGUUAAAUGACAAUAAGUUGAAGCUGUAAAAUUUGCAGCAGAACAGAAAAAAAAGAAGAAAGCUCUCGCAUUCUCUUUGCUGUUUUCUUACCUGCACUUGCUCACCAAAGUUUCGGCCAUCCAGUUUGCUUGGUUGACCUUAUGUUGGAAAGAGGAAUUAGAUAAGGGGUGUUGGGUUUGCAUUUUUGGUGGCUGGAAUUUUGCAGAAUGCAUGAGCUUCUUUGUGUCUUUUUGCAUGAGUUUCCUUCUAUGUUUUGCUUGUUUAGAUGUUAAAGUUCUAUACUCGGUUGUUUAGUUUAGAGUUUUGAUGUUUGGCGGGUAAAGUUUAGAUCAAAAUUGUGCAUGUGGAUUGAAAUUUGCGUUUGAAAGUUGAAAAUUGCAGCAAGCAUUCCUUUCUGUUGCCUUCCUCGUAGCAUUUGCAUGGCAUUUGCAUGGAAAUCUUUCAAUAAUUUCACUUUGACCCCUUGGCUUCCAACUAAUGCUGCUAUGACCCAAUCAAUUGAAUAAUCUCCUCAAUUUGGUCCUUGGUAGUUUUAAUUUUACAACUCCAUUGCUUGUUUGCUUCAAUUAACUACUAUGCUUUGUUUCAAUUGCACUUAAGUCAUGACUUUAGGGGCUUCAUGAUCAAGUGAGCUUUGUAUUUGCACAUUUCUUUUAAUUUUUCUUAAUUAAAGUGGUACCUUGACCCUUUUAUUGUUUUGAAGCCAUUUUUUCCUUCCUUUGAUUACCAUUGCGAGGGAGGUACACUCUAUCCUUCAUUUCUUGACUUUAUUUGACCCUACGUGCAUAUAUGUGUCUUAUGUGUGCAAUUGCAUGACUUUAAGUGUUUAUUUCAUUUUUACCUUAUUUAUUUCUUUAGUUGCUUAGUUUUGCUUUAAUUUUAGUUCAAUUUCGUCAUUUGGGAGGCACUCGAAUGCCAAAAUUGUAAUAGUUAGGGAUUUAAUUGUUUUAUUCCUUCUAUUUCCCCUUUUAGAUUGUAGUAGGCCUUCCCCCAAAAAAUGUAAUAGUUAGGGCCUUAAUUGCCUUGUGUGUUUUGCAUGUCUAUGUGCUAUGUGUUUAAUCGCUUUCUUAGGUUUUUGGCAUCUAGAUAUGCAUGCUUAUGUGUUAUGUGAAUUACGUGCUCACAUGUCUACUUGCUUUAAUUAUGCACAUUACUUAUAUAUGUGUAUGAUGGAUGCAAAUGCACGUAAUCGUGGCUAGUCCAAUGCUAGUCAUGAUUGUCCCCUCGAGCUCUUGCAAGUCCAAUGCUUGUGAGAGAGCGUUAGUGAAGGACUAGUCCAACGUUAGACCAUUAGAAGCCCUUUGCGCGUUAGAUCAUGAUUGCAUGAUAAAAACACUUCAUUUCAUGCAUAUUUGCACUUUUUAGGGCCUUUUAUCAUUUUGUAUGACAUUCCCCUUAUACGUAUAACCCUUAUCCCUAAUUUCCCUAUAUAUAUACCCCUAUGUAUGAUACAUGACAUUAGAAUUGCAUUUCAUUCUAGAAAUAGGAUUAGGGUAGUGCAUUUGCUUGAUUAGAUUAGGGAAUAACCCCUUGGAUAUGGGAUAUGGACGAGUUUGGCUUUUCUAACCUUAGCACGCUCGUAUUCCCUCUAUUAAAAGGGAAAAUUGAGUCACGAACAUUAGUCCCCCGUAC